AGGAGCUUAGCAUCUAUGAUGAAGAAAUCGGCAGUGCUAUAUCACUAUCCAUGCCCAGACGGUGCAUUCGCUGCAUUGGCAGCUCAUCUUUACUUCUGUGCUACUUCUCUCCCUGCCCUUUUCCUUCCCAAUACUGUCUACAAUCCCAUCAAGCUCGAACACCUUCCUAUCCAUGAAAUCGAUGAUCUUUAUCUUCUUGAUUUUGCUGGACCUUCUGGUUUUGUGCACCAAAUCUCCUCCAAAUUUAGCAGGUUUUCCAAAUUAGAUUCCUCUCAACUCUCCUUGUUUUUGUUUUUGUUCAAGUUAUUGCUCAUUUUUUGUCAUAUCCAGAGUGGUCAUAUUGGAUCACCACAAAACAGCAAAAGAGAUGCUCGGCGGCGAAACUUUAGUGGGUAAGAAUGUGAAUGCAGUUUUAGAUAUGGAAAGGAGUGGUGCUACGAUUGCGUAUGAUUAUUUCAAGGAGAAGCUUGUUGGGAAUCCUAAUCAGAAUAUCGUCUCUGAGUUCAGUCGUCUAAGGCCCAUUUUUGAAUACAUAGAAGAUGCAGAUCUUUGGAGGUGGAGACUUGAAAAUAGCAAAGCUUUUAGCAGUGGGUUGAAAGAUUUGAACCUUGAAUUCAAUGUCCGGUUAAACCCCUCUUUGUUUAAGCAGUUACUUUCUUUGGAUCUGGAGUCUGUCAUUGCUCAAGGGAUGAUGAGCUUAUCAGUCAAGGAAAAGUUAAUAAAUGACACCCUUGAUCAGUCAUAUGAAAUUGCACUUGGGGGUGGAGCUUUUGGACAUUGCCUGGUAUUAUGCAUGCUGUUAAUGCAGAUUCUUUACCAGAGUUAAGGAGUGAAUUGGGACACCAAUUGGCUAUCAAAAGCAGUGAUCAAAACCUGAGGGCAAUUGGAGCUGUUGUGUACAGAGUUCCAGGGCUUGAAAAUGACAAGCUGUUGAAAAUUAGCUUGAGGAGUUCGGUUAGUGAAGACACAACACCCAUCUCACAGGAAUUUGGUGGUGGUGGUCACCGAAAUGCCAGUUCAUUCAUGAUAAGUUUUGCAGAAUUUGAGAAGUGGAAAGUCGACAAACGUGCUUGAUUUUACAUAAUUUUCUGGCUUCUGGUUUCUUUUGUAACACUAAAGUACCCCAACUUCAAGUUUACUAACAUAAAAAUACUUCUUACUACAGUUGCUGAUUCUCUGGUAAAGUGAUGACGUAACUUUGACAGUUUGGAUUUAAACCUGUACCUUGUCUUGUCUCUCUUCUCCAUGCACUUAACCCUUCUUUCUCUUUCUCUCUCCUGCCAUUGGGUGUUACUCUCUCUCUCUCCAUUUUUCCCCCUUUUACCGCAAAUAAAGCUUGUUCUCAAUUAUGGUGCCAUCUCCUUUGCAUCAUGAGUGUUG
Molecule: unclassified non-coding RNA, 1380 nt
Filed under: Hevea brasiliensis (rubber tree)
Lineage: Eukaryota; Viridiplantae; Streptophyta; Magnoliopsida; Malpighiales; Euphorbiaceae
Source: RNAcentral